AACCCUGUGAUGAGCCCAAAGCGAACUAUUCUUUCGCCUUUUACUAAAGAAUACCGUGUGCUCUUCACUAAUAGCGGUAUACGCUAAUUUUUGAAAGAGUUUUCUAUAUAGAGAACU
Cicer arietinum (chickpea) is the source of this 117-nucleotide non-coding RNA. The record is from Rfam. NCBI's taxonomy places the organism in Eukaryota, Viridiplantae, Streptophyta, Magnoliopsida, Fabales, Fabaceae.